CCUACGGGUGGCAGCAGUCGAGAAUCAUUCACAAUGGGGGAAACCCUGAUGGUGCGACGCCGCGUGGGGGAAUGAAGGUCUUCGGAUUGUAAACUCCUGUCAUGUGGGAGCAAAUUAAAAAGAUAGUACCACAAGAGGAAGAGACGGCUAACUCUGUGCCAGCAGCCGCGGUAAUACAGAGGUCUCAAGCGUUGUUCGGAAUCACUGGGCGUAAAGCGUGCGUAGGCUGUUUCGUAAGUCGGGUGUGAAAGGCGCGGGCUCAACCCGCGGACGGCACAUGAUACUGCGAGACUUGAGUAAUGGAGGGGUAGCCGGAAUUCGCGGUGUAGCAGUGAAAUGCGUAGAUAUCGAGAGGAACACUCGUGGCGAAGGCGGGUUCCUGGACAUUAACUGACGCUGAGGCACGAAGGCCAGGGGAGCGAAAAGGAUUAGAUACCCGAGUAGUC
RNAcentral lists this ribosomal RNA (446 nucleotides) under uncultured bacterium. Its description in RNAcentral is "partial 16S ribosomal RNA". It matches the Rfam family "Bacterial small subunit ribosomal RNA", at positions 338 to 795 of the family's 1533-position model. The record is from RNAcentral.